RNAcentral lists this ribosomal RNA (254 nucleotides) under uncultured bacterium. RNAcentral's name for it is "partial 16S ribosomal RNA". It matches the Rfam family "Bacterial small subunit ribosomal RNA", at positions 524 to 777 of the family's 1533-position model. The record is from RNAcentral.
GACGAACCGAGCGAACGUUGUUCGGAAUCACUGGGCUUAAAGGGCGCGUAGGCGGGCAUUCAAGUCUGUGGUGAAAUCCGGCAGCUUAACUGUCGAAUUGCCAUGGAUACUGGGUGUCUCGAGGGAGGCAGGGGUGCGCGGAACUAAUGGUGGAGCGGUGAAAUGCGUUGAUAUCAUUAGGAACUCCGGUGGCGAAGGCGGCGCACUGGUCCUUUUCUGACGCUGAGGCGCGAAAGCCAGGGGAGCAAACGGGG